Molecule: ribosomal RNA, 464 nt
Filed under: uncultured bacterium
Lineage: Bacteria
Description: bacterial SSU rRNA
Rfam family: Bacterial small subunit ribosomal RNA
Source: RNAcentral
CGAUAUCGACGAGUUUGAUAUGGCUCAGAUUGAACGCUGGCGGCAUGCCUAACACAUGCAAGUCGAACGAAGGCUUCGGCCUUAGUGGCGCACGGGUGCGUAACGCGUGGGAACCUGCCCCUCGGUUCGGAAUAACAGUUAGAAAUGACUGCUAAUACCGGAUGAUGACUUCGGUCCAAAGAUUUAUCGCCGAGGGAUGGGCCCGCGUAGGAUUAGCUAGUUGGUGGGGGUAAAGGCCUACCAAGGCGACGAUCCUUAGCUGGUCUGAGAGGAUGAUCAGCCACACUGGGACUGAGACACGGCCCAGACUCCUACGGGAGGCAGCAGUGGGGAAUAUUGGACAAUGGGCGAAAGCCUGAUCCAGCAAUGCCGCGUGAGUGAUGAAGGCCUUAGGGUUGUAAAGACUCUUUUACCUAGGGAUGAUAAUGACAGUACCUGGAGAAUAGGCUCCGGCUAACUCCGUG